GUCUUUUGGUUAUUUAUAAAGGUGUAUAUAGUUAAAUAGUUUAAAGGGGUUGUUUUUUUUGGUAAAAAAAGUUUGAGGCGCGGGACUCUUGCAUAGUAAAAUACAAAAGGCCAGCACCUCGAACAAAGAGCACAAUGGGGUGUAAGUCUAUAGAGAAAAAAGCAAAAACUUUUUUUCCUAUGAUGAUCCUUCCGCAGGUUCACCUACGGAAA
This 212-nucleotide unclassified non-coding RNA is filed under the name uncultured fungus. Its description in RNAcentral is "sequence contains ITS1". The record is from RNAcentral. Lineage: Eukaryota; Fungi.